This 82-nucleotide transfer RNA is filed under the name Vararia minispora EC-137. RNAcentral's name for it is "tRNA-Arg". It matches the Rfam family "tRNA". From Rfam's summary of the family: Transfer RNA (tRNA) molecules are approximately 80 nucleotides in length. Their secondary structure includes four short double-helical elements and three loops (D, anti-codon, and T loops). Lineage: Eukaryota; Fungi; Basidiomycota; Agaricomycetes; Russulales; Lachnocladiaceae. The record is from RNAcentral.
GGCCGCCUGGCGAAAUGGCAUCGCGUCUGACUACGAUGAUGGUGUAAUCAGGAGAUUGCAGGUUCGACCCCUGCGGUGGUCA